Molecule: unclassified non-coding RNA, 400 nt
Filed under: soil metagenome
Description: partial contains 5.8S ribosomal RNA, internal transcribed spacer 2, and large subunit ribosomal RNA
Rfam family: 5.8S ribosomal RNA (bases 1-122)
Source: RNAcentral
GAUGAAGAACGUAGCCAAAUGCGAUACUUGGUGUGAAUUGCAGAAUCCCGUGAACCAUCGAGUCUUUGAACGCAAGUUGCGCCUCAAGCCAUUAGGUUGAGGGCACGUCUGCCUGGGCGUCACAUAUCGUUGCCUGAUGCCAGUUUCCUCGUGAUGGGUGACUGUGCAGGGCGAAUGAUGGCUUCCCGUGAGCAUUGUUGCCUCAUGGUUGGUUGAAAAUUGAGUCCUUGGUAGGGAGCGCCGUGAUAGAUGGUGGUUGAGUGACGAACGAGACCCAAUCAUGUGAGACCCCUACCGAAUUUGGCCUUCAUGACCCACAUGCGUCUUUGGAACGCUCAUGACGAGACCUCAGGUCAGGCGGGGCUACCCGCUGAGUUUAAGCAUAUCAAUAAGCGGAGGA